This is a non-coding RNA of Rattus norvegicus (Norway rat), 571 nucleotides long. The record is from RefSeq and is a predicted model, not a curated record. NCBI's taxonomy places the organism in Eukaryota, Metazoa, Chordata, Mammalia, Rodentia, Muridae.
CCCCCUGUGAAGCAGCAGGUCCUAGUGCUUUCCUCGCUUCCUCUCCUCUCUAACCUGCUUCCUGAAAUGGAGAUCCAACAUGAAAGCUGGGCCUCUGACUGCAUCUGGAGUCUAUGAACUAGGAGCAAAUCGCAGGCCCCAUGGCCCAUCCUGGGAGUGGUCUUGAGAAGACAGUCUACCUGCAUCAAGAACCUGGACUUUGGCUGUAAUUGCACAUGGCUCCAUCUGUCCAUCUGUUUUGUUUUAGUUUGAGGAUCCAGGAAGACAAGUGUACUGGAGAAAGAACACAUCGAUUCUUGGGACUAUAAAAAUUCUGCACUAUGAAAGGCACUGUCUGUAAAGGAAGUGGGAGGGUUUUCAGAGUAUCUAAGUUCCUCCGCCAGAGGUAGAGCCCAUAGUUUUCCUGCCGUCCCUUUUAUCUGAUCUGAGUAUUGGUCCUUCAGAGUUAGCAUUCAGGCAUCGCCAGAGGAAGAACUGAAGGUUUGCAGCAUCUAAAUGUGUGUCUAACGUAACACCUGAGCUGGAGUCAACACUGUGGGUUUGUUUUUUUAAUUUUAAAGUCAUUCUCUUC